CAGCGGGAUGAAUAAAUAGAUAUUUGGGGAUUAUGCUCGAUCAACUCGCAGUUUCAAAGCAGUGCUCCUGUUUUUUCAAUUUCAUGACCUGGCAAUUUCAUUCUGUCAUAAUAGGGUAUCAUGCCCUUCGUGUAUCUUAUUAUUAUAGUUGAUUGUGUCGUGCUGCGUGAAAUUGUACUGUUUGUUUGUGAACUAUUACAAAGAUGUUUCUGUCGCAAGAGAACCUGGCUGAAGAAAUCCGGCAACAAGCCGCUUCUAUAGGUGCCUAAUGCGAUAAAAAUUCCGCUAAGUGAAAGUUCUGGACGCGGAGUUUGUAAAUACCACGCUGCAUAUUUCCACAUCCACGACGAAAUAGCUGUAGGACCCUGUUCAAUAAGGCAGAUUAUCAAGAUGAAGUGGGCCGGGACCAAAUGGAUGCCUGUUUCUCAGCAAGCGGUGUCCAACUGCUAAAUUACCCCGGUCUUAUCAGUAUGGGCUAUCAUUAAAGCCGGGGGUUUUCGAUGCACACAUGUGACCCUUCAUGGGCCAUAGGAAUAUGAAGACCGCUUCUUGUAUAUCUUUUCCAUCACGGAACAAUGGUGUUCCGGACCUUUGGGAGGCGUGCGCGGAGCCGUAGGCAACACGUGAGUCCCUUUUGACACUUAAUGAAAUGUAAGGGGUAAACCGAGCGGAUGCUGCCCUUGCCCGCGUCAUGGAACACACGCAGAGGCAGCAUCCGCCAGGGUGUAAGGACUAUUGAGAGUU
Long non-coding RNA from Cydia splendana, 744 nucleotides. RefSeq lists it as uncharacterized. The transcript has 3 exons. The record is from RefSeq and is a predicted model, not a curated record. NCBI's taxonomy places the organism in Eukaryota, Metazoa, Arthropoda, Insecta, Lepidoptera, Tortricidae.